CCGAGGCAGCCCGCUAGGGAGAGAGGUAAGAGGCGGGCGGGGAGACGAGAGAGGAAAGAAGAGAGGAAAGAAGAGAGGAGGGGCCGGGCCGGAGCUAGGCUGGAGGGAGGAGAGGCGGAGCCUCUUCCGUACGUGCCAGGAGGCUGCGGCGCGGGCAAUGGGGGGGGGGGAGUAGCUAGGAGGGGAGGGGGGAGCCUCGGCGUCGGCGCGUCGCCUUGCUGGGCCGCGGCCGGUGGUCAGGAGGGAGAGAGGAGGAGGAGGAGGAGGAGAAGGAGGAGGAGUUCUAGGUCCUGCAAGGAAUACAAAAGAAAAUAAGACAAGUCUGUGCCCUCGAGGAGUGUUAAAUCUAACACACAAGCUUACUAAACACUGAAAAGCAUUCUGCCUACCUGAAAAUAAGGACGAGAAAUAUCUAUACACUGCAGGUUAGUUUUUAGAUUAACUCUUUAUAAAAAUAAUAGCACAAAAUAAAGUUUAACAUGGUGGCGACCUCUUUAUAAAU
RNAcentral lists this long non-coding RNA (502 nucleotides) under Monodelphis domestica (gray short-tailed opossum). Its description in RNAcentral is "lncRNA (ENSMODG00000044830.1)". The record is from RNAcentral. Lineage: Eukaryota; Metazoa; Chordata; Mammalia; Didelphimorphia; Didelphidae.